RNAcentral lists this ribosomal RNA (348 nucleotides) under uncultured bacterium. Its description in RNAcentral is "SSU rRNA". It matches the Rfam family "Bacterial small subunit ribosomal RNA", at positions 26 to 372 of the family's 1533-position model. The record is from RNAcentral.
AGAACGAACGCUGGCGGCGUGGAUAAGACAUGCAAGUCGAACGCGACUUACAGCGAUAGCAAUAUCAUUGUAAGUUGAGUGGCGAAAGGGUGCGUAACACGUGGGAAUUUACCAAGAAGUGGGGAAUAGCUCGACGAAAGUCGAAUUAAUACCGCAUAUGAUCGCAAGAUCAAAGCCGGGGACCGCAAGGCCUGGCGCUUUUUGAGAAGCCCGCGGCCCAUCAGCUAGUUGGCGGGUAAAGCCCACCAAGGCUAUGACGGGUAGCUGGUCUGAGAGGACGACCAGCCACACUGGAACUGAGACACGUCCAGACACCUACGGGUGGCAGCAGUCAGAAUUUUUCACAAU